This is a small nucleolar RNA of Dendrobium catenatum, 106 nucleotides long. NCBI's taxonomy places the organism in Eukaryota, Viridiplantae, Streptophyta, Magnoliopsida, Asparagales, Orchidaceae. The record is from RefSeq and is a predicted model, not a curated record.
AAGCAUGAUGAGGGUACUUUUUAAUCAUUUCCUUAAAUCUUUUCCAACUUUCACAAAUUGACUCUCUGUCAUAUUGGGAAAAUGAAGUAAUAGCAUUCCUAAGCUU